This 223-nucleotide ribosomal RNA is filed under the name uncultured bacterium. RNAcentral describes it as "partial 16S ribosomal RNA". It matches the Rfam family "Bacterial small subunit ribosomal RNA", at positions 328 to 539 of the family's 1533-position model. The record is from RNAcentral.
ACGCUCGACACCUACGAGAGGCAGCAGUAGGGAAUCUUCCACAAUGGGCGCAAGCCUGAUGGAGCAACACCGCGUGAGUGAAGAAGGGUUUCGGCUCGUAAAGCUCUGUUGUUGGAGAAGAACGUGCGUGAGAGUAACUGUUCACGCAGUGACGGUAUCCAACCAGAAAGUCACGGCUAACUACGUGCCGGCAGCCGCGGUAAUCUGAGCGGGCUGGCAAGGC